CUGUGAUGGGGAGGGUCAGUCUCUCUCCUGAGCCUGGGCUGGAGGUCUCUGGGGAAGACGUGGUUUCCCUGGUCCAGAAGAACAUGAAAUCCUGGUGGCUUCUCCUCUCCCUGCUGGCAGCUCCCCACUGGGUCCUGUCUCAGCUCCAGCUGUUGGAGUCCGGCCCUGGAGUGGUCAAACCCUCGGAAACUCUCAGACUCUCCUGUGCCGUCUCCGGGGGCUCAGUCAGCAGCAGCUACUACUGGAGCUGGAUCCGUCAGCAGCCUGGGAAGGGGCUGGAGUGGAUGGGAUACUGGAGUGGUAGCACAUACUACAACCCAGCCUUCCAGAACCGCAUCACCAUCACAGCCGAUACGUCCAAGAACCAGUUCUCUCUGCAGCUAAAUGGCGUGACAUUGGCAGACACGGCCUUGUAUUACUGUGCAAGAGACACAGUGUGGGGCAGUGAGUGUGAGCCUAGACAUAAACCUGCCUCUACAGGGGGUCAGGAGGAGGCUGGGCAGCAGGGGGAGCUCAGGACUCACUGAGCACGAGGAGCCCAGUUCCAGGAACAGGUGGAGAGCGAGGCAGAGAAAGAGUUUCUGUUCAGUGUCUGUGGUUUCCUCUCCCAGCUCAGUGCAUAGCUUUCCCCCUAGAGGGUGGGGGAUUAAGCCCUGAGAGCAGAGUUGGAGGCAUGGAGUAGAACGAGUGUUAUUUAUUGAAGGCUUAUUGUGUACGGAGCACUGUAGUACGUGUUUGGGAGAGAACAUUAGAGUAAGUAGUCUCGGUCCCUGUCCUCCAGAAGCUUAGCGCGUCUCACAGAGAGGGCAUCUGAAGGUGGGUACCAGUUCCACUGGUGAGUGAAAUAGUUUCAGUGGUUAGUGGUUAAUCUCAGGUCAGAGGUCUGGGAGCAGUAGGAGAAUCUGGUGACUUGGAACCCAGGAGUCAGGGUGAGGGACAGUGGGCAGGA
Molecule: non-coding RNA, 949 nt
Organism: Ornithorhynchus anatinus (platypus)
Lineage: Eukaryota; Metazoa; Chordata; Mammalia; Monotremata; Ornithorhynchidae
Source: the annotation of a RefSeq genome assembly